RNAcentral lists this long non-coding RNA (257 nucleotides) under Daucus carota (carrot). RNAcentral's name for it is "long non-coding RNA (DCAR_LNC007201)". Lineage: Eukaryota; Viridiplantae; Streptophyta; Magnoliopsida; Apiales; Apiaceae. The record is from RNAcentral.
CUUGAGCAGCUUCCUGAGCACUGGCAGCCUGAAACAUGAAACACUAAUGUUGACAUGCACCACAAAAAAAAUUAGUAGCAACGUGAAGUCAAGUGCUACGGACUGGGCCUGGGCCUUGGUGGGCUUGGCCUGGCAGGCCUGCUGCUGAAGUGGACUUGGGUGGACUAAAUCAUGGGCCUGAGCCCAACAGAGCAAGCAAAAGCAACGGAAAUCAGCUGUGUAAAAGGCGCAAGUCAGUAGCAUUUGCACGGUCGGCA